UUAUCCUACGGGGCGCAGCAGUGAGGAAUAUUGGUCAAUGGGCGAGAGCCUGAGCCAGCCAAGUCGCGUGAAGGAUGACGGCCCUAUGGGUUGUAAACUUCUUUUGUCAGGGGGCAAUUGGGUCCACGCGUGGGCUUAGCGAGAGUACCUGAAGAAAAAGCAUCGGCUAACUCCGUGCCAGCAGCCGCGGUAAUACGGAGGAUGCGAGCGUUAUCCGGAUUUAUUGGGUUUAAAGGGUGCGUAGGCGGAAUAUCAAGUCAGCGGUAAAAAUUCGGGGCUCAACCCCGUCGUGCCUUUGAAACUGA
RNAcentral lists this ribosomal RNA (305 nucleotides) under uncultured bacterium. RNAcentral's name for it is "bacterial SSU rRNA". It matches the Rfam family "Bacterial small subunit ribosomal RNA", at positions 334 to 636 of the family's 1533-position model. The record is from RNAcentral.